CCCUAGUCUGGGGCCGACGGGCUGGGGAAAGUCAAGUUGUGCUUGUUUGCGCUGUCCCUCCCCUUUUUUUUAGAAUAUGCUGGCCCAGUCCCUCUCGCUCUCUCCUCCCGUCUCUCCCCUUCCGCUACCCCCGCCGCUUCUCUUCGCCCCGACUCUUCCCCGAGGAGACCUCCGACGGCCUCCAGUGGAGUUCCCUCGAGCCGUUCUAGCCGGGGCGGAAGCCCGAGCCGUAGCCGACGCCGCGACCGCGGCCUCAGCCGAAGAAGCCGCCACGUCCUAAUCCAAUACCUAAAGGACCUGAGUGAAAUCCGAAGCCUCAACCUCGACCGACGCCAUAUCCUAAACCAAAACCAAUACCGAACCCGUUUCCUUAACGAGUACUACUUUUCUCUUCUGUAAGUUUGCAACCAUUUUACAAGGUCCUUUGAGGUUUAGACGGAUUCAUUCAUGACACACCCGUACUUUAUAAAUCUCCCUAAACACGUUGUCUGUAAUAAUAUGCACGAUACGGAACAACGGAUUGGAACAUUAGAGAUAAUAGAAACUUCACAAAUGAGAUCAAUGUCAACCAGUACAUUCACUUAAACCUUCUUCUCGUUAGACCUCCCAUUUCACCUUAAUAAUAGUUGACCGAACUUUGUUUGUGAGGGUCAUCAACUAUUUCUCGUUCUCUUUUAACUGAACACAUAGAAAAAAAUAACUAUAACAAACUUGAAUUUUAUGCAUCGAAUGGUUUACUCUAACCUCUUUCUUGGAAUUUGUUCGAACGAAUACGAAACUUUACUUUUCUAUAGAAGUUCGUCAGGGUGCGUAUUAUCAAUAGGUUUGACCCCACUAACCGUCAAACUGACCUUAUUGGGACUUGUUCUCGAAAUAAGUCAUAACGUCACACUUUCCGUUUUCCUUCUUUUACUUGUCUCACCAGUUAAGGUACGGUCUCGGUUUAGAUAAAAUUGAACUCGAGGUUAGGAACGGGUGUAAACCGUAAUGUUAUACUGGAAUAUUCAAUAUAAUACCAUGGCAUUGUAUAAUCGUGGAUCCUCACAAGUUCAUGCCCAACUAGGGUUGGGCAGGUUUUGGCCGACAAUUCGGUAUCAAGUAAAAGGAAGAAAGGUACACUACACUCGUCACUACGGUAAAACUUUUAAAUAUACACUACCAAGUGAUUACUGACCAACUUGACUCUGGUAAAAACUUGUGGGGAUAAUCGUGAUGAACAAAGCAGGUCUGAGUAUAUGAUAUGUGUAUAAUAUCCGCACGUUGUGAACUACUGAACUUGCGGAUUUUACUUCACCUUUAUAAAUCGCUGUUCACGUUUGGUACCUUUUGGUGUUGUUAAAAAAACACAAGGAAUGACUUGUAACAUUUUACCGUAAAGAUACACUUGAUUACGAUUGAAUUACUAACACAGCACAGAACAACUUUUACUGGGACUUUCCGGCUUUGCCACAUUUAACGGACCUCCUUAGAUUAGUGUGUUGGAUUAGGGACUUCGGACUUGGGUGCUCGAAAAUCUCCUGGUCACUUCUCAGAAGUGUUAGAGUAAGAGAUAGUCCUACCAUUGUCCACGUUAUCACCCUAUAAACUUCACUGUAGGUUCAUAGAGCACAUGCGUAUUACAUUGAUACGGGUGUUUUUGUUUGUUUUAUCGUAGAGUAAGGACUGAGGACUGUAUUUGAUGUUAUAGCGUGAGACGAUAAUGAGAUAGAGAGCUGUCGUACUCCCAAAGCUUAUUUAUCUGGACCAUCUUACAAUGUCUUUUGACUAAACAAUCAUAAUUAAAGUCUUAAACUCGAUGAAGUCGUGUCUAACAAACUCUAAAACAAAAUACACGUUGUUUUUGACGUAAAAAAAGAGCAUAAUCUGUAUUGAAUUAGUCAAAACAAAACAGUACCAAUUUUUAGUUCAACUCCGGGGUUGUGAUGAAUAAGGAGAGAGUCAAUUACGUUUACACAAAAUGACGUCAUUAUACGGUUAUAAAAAAAAAGACUUUUAACAUCAUAUUUUAUAUUGUAUUAAACUAAACUACAGAUGAAACUUUGGAACUUCUAGACACGUUCAAGAGACAAACACUACUCUUCCUUUGAUUCAUAAUAGAGUGGGAGCGUAUCGAAUUAGAAACAAAGAGUACCAACUUUAAGCAGUUCAACGAUGGAAUACCGUAAACGGUGUGGGUCUUCUAUUGAAGUUAAAAGUACCUUUUCUUACACAUAACAAGGUACCAACGAGUGGGAAAGGAGAAGAGAUAAGGUCCCUAUGGUAACGACCAAACAAACUGCUCAACCAACAUUUGUGGUUUUUCGAACGGUGGCGUUGAAGUUUUGUCUAACUUUUUACCGUGACUCGACGUGGUGGUCUACCGACGACGAUAAACGAUAGAAUCUACCACUAAUCAACCUAUCUUUGAUGACACAGUGUAAUUAUAGGGUAAAACUUGUAAACAUUCAUCCAAACAUAAGUUCAUCCCAAGACUGUAAUACGAUAUCCCGAACAAACUUUAAGACCUUUACAACUUGUAACACCAUCAAUUCUUUCUUUUAAGCUUGGCUACCUACGAAAAAUACUAACAACGUGUACAGCCGAAUACAAGACAAUGAUCACAACGAGUAGAGUAUAUAAUUUUGAACUCAGACUAAACCACGACAGUUUAACACUACCUAGAGACCCACACACACACCAGACCUUGAGAACAGAACCAAGAGAGGUAGAGAGUAACCUAUAGACAGGGAUAGACAAUACAAACCUGGUUAACCAUAGAGUACCGAGGACUAUUUGCUCUAUUGUUCGCCGGGAUUACCACGGUGUAGUCGUGGGAGUAGACGG
RNAcentral lists this ribosomal RNA (2823 nucleotides) under Triticum aestivum (bread wheat). RNAcentral describes it as "partial small subunit ribosomal RNA". Lineage: Eukaryota; Viridiplantae; Streptophyta; Magnoliopsida; Poales; Poaceae. The record is from RNAcentral.